RNAcentral lists this ribosomal RNA (467 nucleotides) under uncultured Rhodocyclaceae bacterium. RNAcentral's name for it is "bacterial SSU rRNA". It matches the Rfam family "Bacterial small subunit ribosomal RNA", at positions 916 to 1381 of the family's 1533-position model. Lineage: Bacteria; Pseudomonadati; Pseudomonadota; Betaproteobacteria; Rhodocyclales; Rhodocyclaceae. The record is from RNAcentral.
AGACGGGACCCGCACAAGCGUGGAUGAUGUGGAUUAAUCGAUGCAACGCGAAAACCUUACCUACCCUUGACAUGUCCGGAAUCCCGAAGAGAUUUGGGAGUGCUCGCAAGAGAGCCGGAACACAGGUGCUGCAUGGCUGUCGUCAGCUCGUGUCGUGAGAUGUUGGGUUAAGUCCCGCAACGAGCGCAACCCUUGUCAUUAGUUGCCAUCAUUUGGUUGGGCACUCUAAUGAGACUGCCGGUGACAAACCGGAGGAAGGUGGGAUGACGUCAAGUCCUCAUGGCCCUUAUGGGUAGGGCUUCACACGUCAUACAAUGGUCGGUACAGAGGGUUGCCAACCCGCGAGGGGGAGCUAAUCCCACAAAGCCGAUCGUAGUCCGGAUCGCAGUCUGCAACUCGACUGCGUGAAGUCGGAAUCGCUAGUAAUCGUGGAUCAGCAUGUCACGGUGAAUACGUUCCCGGGUCUU